GUUUGUGUAUAUGUGGUGCCAAUUUCAAGUGAAGAAGUGGGCUUACUCCUUCUGCCUCUUCAGAAACUGUUUUUUUUAAAUACGAUUUGGAGAGGGAGAGAAGAACCGAGAGAGAGAAGUCAAACCAUUUUGCUAGAAAAAGCUUUGGAGAAAUGGGUUUAAGAGAUCUAAAUGAAGAUAAGAGAGGGAAUUCAAGGAAUUAGAAAGAAAUUCAGCCAUUGAAGGUUAAAGGUGAUCAGGCUCGUGACCAGGCUUAGAGGCAUCUGUCUGGGAUCUAUUUUUUGUCAGCCGCCCUAUGUGCCUUCCGUGGAGGUUCCGGAUAUGUCAAGUGACUAUGGCUAUGUGAUUUAAAGUUUAAGUUCUGUUUUCUUGUUUGGUUAAACAAGUCUUGUGUAUUUUGUAAAUGGGGCUAAGUCCCUUUUUGUCUAAUCUGUAUAUAUAUAUUAUGACGUAAGGAUGAUGGAUAUAUAUGUACAUAAAAAGAUUAAAGUUUUUCUGUCUCAUAUAAGUCUGCACAGCUCAAUGGACCUUUUAUAUUUGUUA
This is a long non-coding RNA of Camellia sinensis, 543 nucleotides long. RefSeq lists it as uncharacterized. NCBI's taxonomy places the organism in Eukaryota, Viridiplantae, Streptophyta, Magnoliopsida, Ericales, Theaceae. The record is from RefSeq and is a predicted model, not a curated record.